This 601-nucleotide ribosomal RNA is filed under the name Escherichia coli. RNAcentral describes it as "partial 23S ribosomal RNA". It matches the Rfam family "Bacterial large subunit ribosomal RNA", at positions 2263 to 2858 of the family's 2925-position model. Lineage: Bacteria; Pseudomonadati; Pseudomonadota; Gammaproteobacteria; Enterobacterales; Enterobacteriaceae. The record is from RNAcentral.
GGGUAGUUUGACUGGGGCGGUCUCCUCCUAAAGAGUAACGGAGGAGCACGAAGGUUGGCUAAUCCUGGUCGGACAUCAGGAGGUUAGUGCAAUGGCAUAAGCCAGCUUGACUGCGAGCGUGACGGCGCGAGCAGGUGCGAAAGCAGGUCAUAGUGAUCCGGUGGUUCUGAAUGGAAGGGCCAUCGCUCAACGGAUAAAAGGUACUCCGGGGAUAACAGGCUGAUACCGCCCAAGAGUUCAUAUCGACGGCGGUGUUUGGCACCUCGAUGUCGGCUCAUCACAUCCUGGGGCUGAAGUAGGUCCCAAGGGUAUGGCUGUUCGCCAUUUAAAGUGGUACGCGAGCUGGGUUUAGAACGUCGUGAGACAGUUCGGUCCCUAUCUGCCGUGGGCGCUGGAGAACUGAGGGGGGCUGCUCCUAGUACGAGAGGACCGGAGUGGACGCAUCACUGGUGUUCGGGUUGUCAUGCCAAUGGCACUGCCCGGUAGCUAAAUGCGGAAGAGAUAAGUGCUGAAAGCAUCUAAGCACGAAACUUGCCCCGAGAUGAGUUCUCCCUGACUCCUUGAGAGUCCUGAAGGAACGUUGAAGACGACGACGUUGAUA